CUUAUUGGCUGGAAAGGAAGAAGCAUUCUUUCAUUGGUUGGUGUGUAUUGCCUUGUCAACCAAUAAGAGGAUGCCAUUUAUCCUUUUCUGACUAGCUGAGUGAGCAGGGUG
Macaca mulatta (Rhesus monkey) is the source of this 111-nucleotide microRNA precursor. The record is from Ensembl. NCBI's taxonomy places the organism in Eukaryota, Metazoa, Chordata, Mammalia, Primates, Cercopithecidae.